Molecule: ribosomal RNA, 428 nt
Filed under: uncultured bacterium
Lineage: Bacteria
Description: bacterial SSU rRNA
Rfam family: Bacterial small subunit ribosomal RNA
Source: RNAcentral
UGGGGAAUUUUGGACAAUGGGGGCAACCCUGAUCCAGCCAUGCCGCGUGAGUGAAGAAGGCCUUCGGGUUGUAAAGCUCUUUCAGCCGGGAAGAAAAUGCAUGGGUUAAUACCCUGUGCAGAUGACGGUACCGGAAGAAGAAGCACCGGCUAACUACGUGCCAGCAGCCGCGGUAAUACGUAGGGUGCGAGCGUUAAUCGGAAUUACUGGGCGUAAAGCGUGCGCAGGCGGUUUUGUAAGACAGGCGUGAAAUCCCCGGGCUUAACCUGGGAACUGCGUUUGUGACUGCAAGGCUAGAGUACGGCAGAGGGGGGUGGAAUUCCACGUGUAGCAGUGAAAUGCGUAGAGAUGUGGAGGAACACCAAUGGCGGAGGCAGCCCCCUGGGUCGAUACUGACGCUCAUGCACGAAAGCGUGGGUAGCAAACAG